AUUCUGAGCAAUUACUCAAAUUGUUUCACAGUGUGUUCUAUUUAUUUGUAUGAGCAUGGUUAAUAUGCAAACUGGAUCAUCCCUUGGAAACCUGAAAGUGAAUUUUGUGAUAAUACAAGGAAUCCUAGGGUAAUCAUACCAGAUGUCUUCUGCAUGCCUUAAUUUACAAAUGCCAACAAUAAAAAGGAGGAAGAAGGAGCCAGGAAGAUUGGAUGCAGUAGCCACCAAGGUAAGUGAAGUCCUGUCUCUUCUUCCAGUCCUGCUGCCUCCAUUUUUCUUGGUAGGAGAGGUGUGUGUGUGUGUGUGUGUGUGUGUGUGUGUGUGUGUGUGUGUGUGUAUCAGGGAGUUAUAUGAGAGACUAAAAUGUGUGUUUUAAAACACUGCAUGGCAAAAUUUAACCUAAAUGGAAAAUUUACUGAGGGUUGAUUUUCAUUUGUUUGCUUUUGUUUUUGAUUUGUUUCGUUUAAUGGUGGGUGGGGAGGGUUAAUGGAGAUGACAGAAAAGCGAAAUCCUUUCAAGCCAUUUCUUAGUACAAUGACUGCUUCUUUGACCACCACUCUUCCAUUUCAUAGAAGCAGAUCUCAGCUCCUGUUUGAUGAGAUUUUUAAAAAUUAAAAAUAAGAGGCUGGGCAUGAUAUCUCAUGCCUGCAAUCUCAGUACUUGGGGAGAGCAAAGCAGGAGGAUUGCUUGA
This 691-nucleotide long non-coding RNA is filed under the name Homo sapiens (human). Its description in RNAcentral is "HSALNT0329100". The record is from RNAcentral. Lineage: Eukaryota; Metazoa; Chordata; Mammalia; Primates; Hominidae.